This 907-nucleotide ribosomal RNA is filed under the name uncultured bacterium. RNAcentral's name for it is "bacterial SSU rRNA". It matches the Rfam family "Bacterial small subunit ribosomal RNA", at positions 544 to 1451 of the family's 1533-position model. The record is from RNAcentral.
UCCGGAUUUAUUGGGCGUAAAGCGAGCGCAGGCGGUUAGAUCAGUCUGAAGUUAAAGGCUGUGGCUUAACCAUAGUACGCUUUGGAAACUGUUUAACUNGAGUGCAGAAGGGGAGGGUGGAAUUCCAUGUGUAGCGGUGAAAUGCGUAGAUAUAUGGAGGAACACCGGUGGCGAAAGCGGCUCUCUGGUCUGUAACUGACGCUGAGGCUCGAAAGCGUGGGGAGCGAACAGGAUUAGAUACCCUGGUAGUCCACGCCGUAAACGAUGAGUGCUAGGUGUUAGGCCCUUUCCGGGGCUUAGUGCCGCAGCUAACGCAUUAAGCACUCCGCCUGGGGAGUACGACCGCAAGGUUGAAACUCAAAGGAAUUGACGGGGGCCCGCACAAGCGGUGGAGCAUGUGGUUUAAUUCGAAGCAACGCGAAGAACCUUACCAGGUCUUGACAUCCCGAUGCCCGCUCUAGAGAUAGAGUUUUACUUCGGUACAUCGGUGACAGGUGGCGCAUGGUUGUCGUCAGCUCGUGUCGUGAGAUGUUGGGUUAAGUCCCGCAACGAGCGCAACCCUUAUUGUUAGUUGCCAUCAUUCAGUUGGGCACUCUAGCGAGACUGCCGGUAAUAAACCGGAGGAAGGUGGGGAUGACGUCAAAUCAUCAUGCCCCUUAUGACCUGGGCUACACACGUGCUACAAUGGCUGGUACAACGAGUCGCAAGUCGGUGACGGCAAGCUAAUCUCUUAAAGCCAGUCUCAGUUCGGAUUGUAGGCUGCAACUCGCCUACAUGAAGUCGGAAUCGCUAGUAAUCGCGGAUCAGCACGCCGCGGUGAAUACGUUCCCGGGCCUUGUACACACCGCCCGUCACACCACGAGAGUUUGUAACACCCGAAGUCGGUGAGGUANCCUUUUAGGAGCCA